UACGAAGGGGGGCUAGCGUUGCUCGGAAUGACUGGGCGUAAAGGGCGCGUAGGCGGAUGGCACAGUCAGAUGUGAAAUUCCCGGGCUUAACCUGGGGGCUGCAUUUGAUACGUGUGAUCUAGAGUGAGGAAGAGGGUCGUGGAAUUCCCAGUGUAGAGGUGAAAUUCGUAGAUAUUGGGAAGAACACCGGUGGGCGAAGGCGGCGACCUGGUCCUUGACUGACGCUGAGGCGCGAAAGCGUGGGGGAGCAAACAGG
RNAcentral lists this ribosomal RNA (256 nucleotides) under uncultured bacterium. RNAcentral's name for it is "partial 16S ribosomal RNA". It matches the Rfam family "Bacterial small subunit ribosomal RNA", at positions 524 to 776 of the family's 1533-position model. The record is from RNAcentral.